This is a long non-coding RNA of Odontomachus brunneus, 953 nucleotides long. RefSeq lists it as uncharacterized. The record is from RefSeq and is a predicted model, not a curated record. Lineage: Eukaryota; Metazoa; Arthropoda; Insecta; Hymenoptera; Formicidae. The transcript has 5 exons.
CGUGGUUCAUCUCCUUCGUCGUCAUCGACAUCGGGAGCUCCUCAUCAAUGAGUCCGGAUGAUCCCGGAAUGAAGACGUUGGUCUGAAAGAGAAUAAGAGUGUCUUUACGUUCGUUUCUCGACAGCUGCGACACAGAUCGUUCGAGGUGCUUCGAUGCAACAUUGUAUCCUGCUCAACCUGAAGCAAAACGACAAUCAUGAAAAAAUUCCAAAAAUGAAGAGUACGCUCGGAGAGGAUCAGUCGUUUCGUUUUAAAUUUGAGACAAAAGCGUGCAACGCGCUUAUCUUUCGGAUCUCGCGGUACUUCGAUGCUCACCUUAGGAUCAAUAUCGCAGCAUGGAUUCCGAUUCAAGAUAUCGCUGAAGAAGUUUGAAUAAUUGAACGAUGUCAGAAACGCUGAAUGACAAUGAAUUUGGAAAUAUUCAAAAGAUUAUUGAUUUUUUGGAUCUUCAAUACUUUAAUGGAAAAAGAAUUAAAAAAAAAUAAUUUAACGGAAAAAGAAUCGAAAAUCGAUACACCAGAGAUGCUGAGAUUUAAUAAGAACAGUCAGUGUUCGACAAUAUUAGACCGACGAUCACAAGCACGAAAUAUCAAAAUUAAUCUUACAAGCAGAGAAAACUUACAUAGUGUCAUCUUAACUCGGAUUUCACGAUACUUCAAUUGCUCACAAUGAUCUCAGGAUCAAAAUCGUAGCGUUAUUUCCAUAAAUUAUUGCUGCAGAAGUUUGGAUGGACUUGACGAAAUCGGAAAUGGUGCCAAAUGUUGCUUGAAAUACGUUGAUACCUGCAAAAUGGACUGCUAUAACUUUGUAUUCAAACGAUAUUAGGCAGGCUGGCUGGCGCCAUCUAGCAGCAUCAUGCGGAAAGAGUGUCAGCUAUAACUGUAGACCCGCUAUUUUUAAACUCGAUAUAUUUAGACCUGAUAUUUUCCUGAAAUAUAAAAUAUUAAUUAAUA